RNAcentral lists this RNase P RNA (367 nucleotides) under Microbacterium sp. SL75. RNAcentral's name for it is "RNase P RNA component class A". It matches the Rfam family "Bacterial RNase P class A". Rfam says of the family: Ribonuclease P (RNase P) is a ubiquitous endoribonuclease, found in archaea, bacteria and eukarya as well as chloroplasts and mitochondria. The record is from RNAcentral. Lineage: Bacteria; Bacillati; Actinomycetota; Actinomycetes; Micrococcales; Microbacteriaceae.
UGGGUCGGCUGGACGGUCGCGUCACGGGUUCGCCCGUGCCGAGGAACGUCCGGGCUCCACAGGGCAGGACGGUGGGUAACGCCCACCCGGAGCGAUCCGCGAGACAGUGCCACAGAGAGCAGACCGCCUCGGCCCCUCGGGGCCGGGGUAAGGGUGAAAGGGUGGUGUAAGAGACCACCGGGGUCGUGGUGACACGACCCGCGAGGUAAACCUCGUCCGGAGCAAGGCCAGACAGGGGAUGACGACGCGGCUCGCCGAGUCCCCGGGUAGGCCGCUGGAGCGGCACGGCAACGUGUCGCCGAGAGAGAUGACCGUCCACGGGGUUUCGACCCCCGGACAGAACCCGGCGUACAGGCCGGCCCAUUCG